RNAcentral lists this ribosomal RNA (516 nucleotides) under uncultured Staphylococcus sp. RNAcentral's name for it is "partial 16S ribosomal RNA". The record is from RNAcentral. Lineage: Bacteria; Bacillati; Bacillota; Bacilli; Caryophanales; Staphylococcaceae.
CACGUAGUUAGCCGUGGCUUUCUGAUUAGGUACCGUCAAGACGUGCACAGUUACUUACACAUUUGUUCUUCCCUAAUAACAGAGUUUUACGAUCCGAAGACCUUCAUCACUCACGCGGCGUUGCUCCGUCAGGCUUUCGCCCAUUGCGGAAGAUUUCCUACUGCUGCCUCCCGUAGGAGUCUGGACCGUGUCUCAGUUCCAGUGUGGCCGAUCACCCUCUCAGGUCGGCUACGUAUCGUUGCCUUGGUAAGCCAUUACCCCACCAACUAGCUAAUACGGCGCGGGUCCAUCUAUAAGUGAUAGCAAAACCAUCUUUCACUUUAGAACCAUGCGGUUCUAAAUAUUAUCCGGCAUUAGCCCCGGUUUCCCGGAGUUAUUCCAGUCUUAUAGGUAGGUUACCCACGUGUUACUCACCCGUCCGCCGCUAACGUCAAAGGAGCAAGCUCCUUAUCUGUUCGCUCGACUUGCAUGUAUUAGGCACGCCCGCCAGCGUUCAUCCUGAGCCAGGAUCAAACU